UAACGACUCUCGGCAACGGAUAUCUCGGCUCACGCAUCGAUGAAGAACGUAGCAAAAUGCGAUACUUGGUGUGAAUUGCAGAAUCCCGUGAACCAUCGAGUUUUUGAACGCAAGUUGCGCCCGAAGCCAUCCGGCCGAGGGCACGCCUGCCUGGGCGUCACGC
Molecule: ribosomal RNA, 163 nt
Filed under: Sonchus tenerrimus
Lineage: Eukaryota; Viridiplantae; Streptophyta; Magnoliopsida; Asterales; Asteraceae
Description: 5.8S ribosomal RNA
Rfam family: 5.8S ribosomal RNA
About the family: 5.8S ribosomal RNA (5.8S rRNA) is a component of the large subunit of the eukaryotic ribosome. It is transcribed by RNA polymerase I as part of the 45S precursor that also contains 18S and 28S rRNA.
Source: RNAcentral